UUAAGGCUUUGGUAGAGUUUGUUAAUCUAGCACUUAUAGACAUGGUUUCAGAAAGCAUAAAUACAAUGGUAGUUCAAGUUUUGUGACAGCUAUAGCAAGUAUUGAGUACAAUGUAUGGUUUCUAUUACAGGGAUAUAUUGCAGGAAUACACCGAGAAAAUAAUACUGCUGAAUGAAGUUGUCCUAAAGGCCUUGUCGAGGUCUUUGAACUUGAAAGAAAACUGCUUUUUGGAUCAAUAUGGUGAAAAUCCAAACAUGGUUACAAGAUUUAAUUACUACCCUCCCUGCCUAAGGCCUGAUCUUACACUUGGAGUCAAACAGCACGCGGAUGGAUCGGCUAUUACAUUUCUUUUGCAGGACAAUGAAGUAGAUGGUCUUCAAGUCCUGAAAGAUGAUCAGUGGUUUAGUGUACCAACUAUUCCCAAUGCUCUUCUCGUUAAUGUUGGUGAUCAAGUAGAGGUAAUCUCCAUAAGGUUGUGUAUUCCACAUAAGUAGAAAUAUAAUUAUAUAAUUUGGACAACAAAAAUACAUUACAUAUUUGUGCGCGAUUGUGCAGAUAAUGAGUAAUGGGAUAUUCAAGAGUCCAAUGCACAGAGUGGUGACUAAUCCAAAACGAGAGAGAACAACCGUGGCUGUUUUCUGUAGUCCGGAUCCUAGCAGGUACAUUGGACCGGCAGAGGAGCUGAUUUCAGAUGCAAGCCCCAGGUUAUACAAGAAGAUCAAAAAUUAUGUUGGUAUCUUUUUUGAGAACUAUCAACUUGGAAAGAGAGCUAUUGAAGCAGUAAAAAUGUAAUAUAGUGUUCUCAGUAUCUUUAAUGUGUAAUAAAUAUGUGAUGGACCAUUUUAAGUGCAUAUGUGCCGCGAGGAUAACACAGACUGUUAGGUACUCUGCAUCCAGAGACCAUUUUACAAUAUUUUGUUUGAUUAUUUUAGUUGUCGCUGUUCAGUGGCAAGCAUCUAAAAAAAAGUUAUCAAUUAAGGACCAUUGACUUCUUCCAAAAUAAAUUAAGCAAACGUUAUCUAAGUUUGAAACAAGCAGCCCCUUGAACAGUUGACCACAUCCACAUGGCCGGAACUCUUGAAUCGCUAGUGUUCAAGCCAGUACAAGAACUGGCCAUGGAUUGUAAAGUACUCCCGGAAAGAUAUAUUCAUAAGUGCCCUGAUGAGGCCUUUUAUGUUGAUCCUCCAGUGAUAGAUAUUCCGGUUAUAGAUCUCAAUUUAAUACAAUUUCCAUCAGCUUCUGCAGAUCAAGUACUUGAAACACUGAGGACAUCUCUAAGUUCAUGUGGUUGUUUUCAGGUUUUUCAUUUUCUUAAAUCGAAGCAAACACAGUUUUUUUAUGUGUCCGAUGAUUCUGAGGUGUUAAUUCUUUUCGUUCAUCCAGGUAAUUGGUCAUGGAAUGACAAGUUCAUUUCUUGACCAAGUGCAUAGUAUUGGCAGAGACUUCUUUGCACUUCCUUUGGAGAAAAAGCUCGAGUGCUCAAGGAGUGCCGAGGAUAUUGAAGGAUAUGGGAAUGAAUCAAUGCAGUCAGAGCAUCGAAUUCUGGAUUGGGCUGACCGCUUGUAUCUUACCACAAACCCUGAAGAUCAGAGGAAGUUUCAGUUUUGGCCUCAAAAUCCGGAAAAUUUUAGGUAAUAACUCUUGUGAUAAUUGACUUGGUUUCAAUAAGCAUGAGUGUACAUAUACUUCAAACUUUGUGUCAAUUGACAAGAUAUAACCUAUGGUUUCGUAGGGAAAUAUUGCAGGAAUACACAAAUAAGUUAAUUUUGUUAAACAAAGUUGUCUUAAAGGCCAUGUCAAGGUCAUUGAACUUGAAAGAGGACUGUUUCUUAGAUCAAUGUGGUGAAAAUACAGACAUGAUUACAGGAUUUAACUACUACCCUCCCUGCCCAAGGCCUGAUCUUACACUUGGAG
Molecule: long non-coding RNA, 1914 nt
Filed under: Daucus carota (carrot)
Lineage: Eukaryota; Viridiplantae; Streptophyta; Magnoliopsida; Apiales; Apiaceae
Description: long non-coding RNA (DCAR_LNC002904)
Source: RNAcentral